GCCUGGGUGGCUCAGUCGGGUUAAGCGUCUGACUUCGGCUCAGGUCACAAUCUCGCGGUAUGUGGGUUUGAGCCCCGCGUCAGGCU
Molecule: transfer RNA, 86 nt
Filed under: Felis catus (domestic cat)
Lineage: Eukaryota; Metazoa; Chordata; Mammalia; Carnivora; Felidae
Rfam family: tRNA
About the family: Transfer RNA (tRNA) molecules are approximately 80 nucleotides in length. Their secondary structure includes four short double-helical elements and three loops (D, anti-codon, and T loops).
Source: Rfam by way of RNAcentral